GAUGAACGCUGGCGGCGUGCUUAACACAUGCAAGUCGAACGGUGAACACGGAGCUUGCUCUGUGGGAUCAGUGGCGAACGGGUGAGUAACACGUGAGCAACCUGCCCCUGACUCUGGGAUAAGCGCUGGAAACGGCGUCUAAUACUGGAUAUGUGACGUGACCGCAUGGUCUGCGUUUGGAAAGAUUUUUCGGUUGGGGAUGGGCUCGCGGCCUAUCAGCUUGUUGGUGAGGUAAUGGCUCACCAAGGCGUCGACGGGUAGCCGGCCUGAGAGGGUGACCGGCCACACUGGGACUGAGACACGGCCCAGACUCCUACGGGAGGCAGCAGUGGGGAAUAUUGCACAAUGGGCGCAAGCCUGAUGCAGCAACGCCGCGUGAGGGAUGACGGCCUCCGGGUUGUAAACCUCUUUUAGCAGGGAAGAAGCGAAAGUGACGGUACCUGCAGAAAAAGCGCCGGCUAACUACGUG
Molecule: ribosomal RNA, 469 nt
Filed under: uncultured bacterium
Lineage: Bacteria
Description: partial 16S ribosomal RNA
Rfam family: Bacterial small subunit ribosomal RNA
Source: RNAcentral